RNAcentral lists this long non-coding RNA (16575 nucleotides) under Lynx pardinus (Iberian lynx). Lineage: Eukaryota; Metazoa; Chordata; Mammalia; Carnivora; Felidae. The record is from RNAcentral.
AGCAAACUCCCAGCUGCCCCUUCCAGUGGAACCCAUGAUUUAACUCUGGAAUUUGUUUUGACUCACUGACUAUAAAAGCAACUAACAGGAACAUGUGGGAGUCAUUGUAAACUGCAGGUAAAACCCACUUUAAGAGAGAGAAACACCCCCAAACUGAGUAAACAGAUGAAACAUAUCAUAUCAUAUCAUAUCAUAUCAAUCAUAUCAUAUCGUAUGACAAAAGGAUUCUUCACUUUGUAAAGGGCAUUACCUCAGAAUUAUUUUAAACUCUACUUCACUGACAACAUUUCUACUAAUGAAAAGUCUCCUAUGUGAAUGAAAAUAACAUGGCUUGUUUUACAGGAGAUGGUCUGGGGCAUGAAGGAAGGUAUGGAUGGGUAAGGAAGCAAGUCUGGAAGCAGAAGACUGGGUUGGGAGUCUUGGGUCCAUGGUGGUGUUUGUCCAGAGACUAAGUCUAAAGCCUGUUGUCUGAGUCUCAUUAGAAAGAACAAUCAGUCAGAGCUGAACAAGUGGUGCUGAUGGCCUUCACCAGGGUGGCUUUGUGACUAAAUGUCUAAUUUAUUUACAGGUUUUCAAACAAAGCCCCUUUUUAUUAAAGGAACAGUUCUGUUAAUUUUAAAGUAUCCACUUACUGCAUUUCAUUUAACUGUGUUGACUUUAGGUAUUAAGAAAAUGGUGUGCUUCCUCACCUGUAAGGAUUCAUAUUCCCAAGAAAAUUAAGCCCUACAAAAGAUGUUAUGGAGGGGCGCCUGGGUGGCCCAGUCGGUUGAGCAACCGACUUCGGCUCAGGUCAUGAUCUCACGGCUUGUGAGUUUGAGCCCCGCAUGGGGCUCUGUGCUGACAGCUCGGAGCCUGGAGCCUGCUUCGGAUUCUGUGUCUCCCUCUCUCUCUGCCCCUCCCUGCUCAUGUUCUGUCUCUCUCUGUCAAAAAUAAAUAAACAUUUUUUAAAAAAAGAUGUUAUGGAAAAAUGCAUAGAUAUAUCUGUUCCUACGAUAGUAGCAUUGUUUUUCAAUAUGCUGAAAAGGGAACACAGGCGAAACUAUUUUUUUCUUUAUCACUAGGAAAUACCAUAGAAAGGAGACUUAUCACCACCUCUUGAAGGCAAUCUUUUUAAUAUGUGGAUUAUUGCUACUGAUUUAUUUUACAAACAUGGAUUAUCUUUACACCAAUUCACAUACAUUUUAAUUAAGAUAAAUUUGCAGAGAAAGGUUAACUUAAAAUGAACAACCAGCAUCUGAACUUCUUCCUAUGAAAAGGGUAGAUAAAUUAUUUGGAGAAAUGACAUCUGCUAAAUUUGGGCUGUCCAAAAUGGUGACUAUUUACAUUUAAAUUAAUUAGGAUUCAAUAAAAUUAACAAGUUGCUUAGUUGCACUGGCUAUUUUUCAAGUGCUUAAUAGCCACCAGUGGUUAGUGGCUAGUGCUCAGCACAUUGGGCAUAUGGAACACUUUUAUAAUACAGAAAAUAUUUCUCUAAAAUGUCUGAUUUUAAAUGAAAAAAAAUAAGAUAUGUAAACAACAAUAGUUGACACACAAAUACAUAUACUGCACAUCCAUCAGUAUUUCAGAAACAUUAAUAGCUGAAAAGAUCCCACUACUCAGAGAGUAGUAGAAAAUUAAAACAAAACAAAACAAAACAGGACCCUCAGUUUGAUAUGUAAAAUCUACCAAGGAAGAUGAAUGGCCAUUACAAGAAUAAAGAAUGAAUCUGCUUUAAGGGAAUAGAAUAAACAGAGAAAACAGCAGGUAAUUUCUAUAGUUUAUUACAAAAGCCUUGAAAGAAUGACUUUAAUGUAUAUUUUAUCUGUCAGCAUUUUACAUGUUGAUGGCUAAGAAGAUUAAUAUUAAACUUAUGAUUUAGGGAAUAAAAGUGAAAAGUAGGUAAUUGUCCCAUUAAAACAUUUAGACUUGAUGAACAUUAACCAAUCACCUGUUCUAUGUGAAGCAUCCUUUGAUUCAGAAGUUUUCUGCAGAAAAAAUAAAUUUUUACUUUACAUACAGGUGGAUCAAACCUAAGUAGAUCAAACCAUGUAAAUCAGUAUUGAAGACUCCCAAUAAUCACUUUCCAGUUUAACUGAUUUUUAGAUAUCUAAAGGAAAUUUCACAGACAUUUUAUAUCACUGUGGUAGCAUUAAUCAAAACCAUUUAUAAUAAUUUAUUUUUUCUCUUGUAUCUGUUACAUCACCCAGAUUUGUCAAAUUCUGGAUUUUUCAUGCUUGACAUUUAAUUUCAAAUGAGCCAAGUCUUCCUAGCAUCAUUGGAACAGCUAACAAUUAGAAUACAUCCCAGAGAAAAUGUGAAUGGAAUGCACCAACAUGCACAUGAAGCACUGUGAUUUAUUUGACACAAAUAUAUUGGUAAGGAAAGUGUAGAAAGAGAUCUGGGGGAAUCCCAGUGCCUUUCUGUGCAGAUACCCAGGACCUGCAGCUGAGGAUAAGGGGCAGGAACUAAUCCACAGCCAUUGCUAUUCUUGAGUCCUGAGAUGCAUCCUUUGAUCAAUUUAUGUGGAUUUUACUAAACUCUAGGAAGGCAGGAUAUUAGGUAGCUACACUGUAAUGAUUUUUUUAAGUUUCAUUUUAAGAUUCUACUGUUUAUGAAAGAGCUCUAAAUAAAUAUUGCCUUCAAGUAUGAAACUCUUGAGGCUCCUUAAUAUGUUUAGUAUUUGAGGCCAUCACAAUUACUCGUAUAAUCACAUACUCUGACAUAUUUGUUACCUCAUUUUAUUCAGAUGCACAAGUUUGUCUUCUUGGAAUAAAUUCUCUUUGCAAUAGAAGAGCAACAUCGAUACACUUUUUAGUUGUGUAGGUUUUGUCAAGCUUAUUAUAAAGUCUGUCGAAGCUAACUGUCUGCAUUCAAAGGGUUCAUAAUCGUCCCAUCUAAGGUAGAAAUUUUGGGCACGAUGGAAGAAUUAACAGGAUCCCAUAAUGAAAGAAAUUUCUUUCUUUUACAAGUAGUGACACAUAGAAAUAUAGUUCUUGUGCCUUGUACAGAUAAAAGUAAAGUUAGCUGCUGUGUUCAUCCCCAGUACAGUACUCACAACCUGUGUUUUUCAGGUUAGCUCUUGAUACUUUCAACAUACUGGGAAAUUUAAAUCUGAGGUCACUCUUAAAUUUAAGUCAUAUCUUGAUACUCAAUAAUGAUUACCUUCCACAAUAUCUUUUUAAGUGUGUAAAAUAAAGAGGCUUUGAAAAUCUCUGCAUGAGAACCUAAGAAAACACAGGACAGAAGCGAGGCAGGUUGAGUGAAGGUUUUUGUCUCAUGUAACACCGGUCAGUUUGCCAACUUCAUAUUUGCCUCCCUAUGGUAAGAUCUUGGCAGGUCAACAUCAUCCGAACAUAAAUCAUCCCUAAAAAUUCCCUUUUCUGGCCUCUGCUAAUCUAAUUCUUUUGCAUUCAGCCGAGUGCUCCUAAAGUUUAAUCACAAGCCUGAAAUACAUGGAAUAAAUUCCUUAAGAUUGAUACUAAUCAUAUGAGGAUAUCGACUGGGCAUACAAAAAUGAACUGCAAAUGAAAACUAGAAAUUGAGAUCCCAAAUUACCUGUAUUUAGAAAUCCAUGUCCAUCCAGUUCAUCAUUAGCAAACUCCCCUUUAUUCUUCCCACACUCACCUCCCACUCCAAAUUACAAUACUUAACCAAUUGGGAUCAGAAUGGGCUGAAUCAUAUGUAAAUUAUCCAGAGGGGCCUAGCUUAAAGUUUCUUAAAUUUUAAUGUGCACAUGAAUCAUCUGAGGAUCUUGUUAAAAUGCAGAUUAUUGUUUGAUAGGGCUCGUGUGGGGCCCAAAGUUCUGCAUUUCUAAUAUGCCUUCAGAUGAUGCUGAUACUCUGAUUCACAGAGGACACUUUGAAUAGCAAAGUUUUUUUUUUAAGUUUAUUUAUUUUGAAAGAGAGAGAGAGGGAGAGAGAGAGAGAGAGAGAGAAAGCACACAACCACAGGGAAGGGCAGACGAAGAGAAAAAUUCCCAAGCAGACUCUGCACAGUCAGCACAGAGACUGACUUAGGGCUCAAUCUCACUUACAGUGAGAUCAUGACCUGAGCCGAAAUCAAGAGUAGGACACUUAACUCACUGCCACCCAGGCAUCCUAAUAGCAAGGUUUUAAAGGAGAGCAUUAUUGGCUUUCCCAAAUUGUGAACUGCCUAUUAUAUUCCACACUGCUGAUGUUGACUGGAAACUUGACAGUUAUGUAUAUACAUAUGUGUAUGCACACACACACACACACACACACACACACACACACACGUGAAAUGACAUUCCAAAAGCUAUACUAAUCAUGAUCUUUAAGAAAUAUCACAAAUAGUAUAAUAUGCAUUACUUGGCUAAAAUGUAAAAAUCCAGAAUGUUACUAAUCAGAAAUGAUAAAUGGUAUCUGUAUUUUCCAAUAAAUUAUUUAUACUUUGCACUUCUGUCAUAGUUGAAAAUUAUAUUAAUAGUGCAAUUUCUAACAUAUGAGCUAUUAACUUUUUAAUGACAUUUGUAAAACAUUAAUCAAAUUUAUGAGGUUUUCUCCUAAAUUAUGACACUCUCAUGUCACUUUGUAUUCCAAAUUCAUUAAGCACAUUUAGUUUAAUUGCCUGAAAAAAGAGAUGCUGAAGGCAUUUUUAUUUUUCUUUAAUUUUGCCACUGACAGUAACUUAUAUUUUAUCCUUUUAUUAUCCCACAGACAGAGACACAAAUAUGUUUCCUUUCUUUCACAAAAGGAGAAGUCAGAUGAUGGUCAAAUGCAUUGUUCAAAAAGCCUAAUACUGAAAAUGCUUUUUGUACUGGUUUAAAACCAAUUAAAUCUAUUUAGUUUUAAAAAUUAAAGCAAAUAGAGAUAGAAGCAUUUAAUUAUACUACCAUUUUUCCUAAAUUGUGUUUCUUGAGCUAUAUUCUCUCAUUUUUUCCUUAUUAAUUUUUAAAACGAAGCUUUUAUAUAUUCUUAUUAACACUUACGUUGUACAAUAUAUGAUCCCAAGUAAUCACAUCAAAAUAUUGUGCUAACCUUCCAAGAUGUGGCUGUGACUACUUUCAGGUGACAUCUUGUCAAAAGAUGUUUCCUCGCCUUUCUUGUCUGAAUCAUUCACAGAAUCAUCGGACUGGCUCCCAGGGUGACUCUUAAAUUUUGGUGAACAUAAACUUCUCUCAAUUUCCACUUCCUGUUAGAAGACAUUAAAGGGAUACAUGUUAAAAGCUAUCAGUGGGAAACAGAUGUGGUUUUCAGGGGGUUUAGAAGGCAAUGAUGAGAGAGGAGGGGUGUUCCUAUGAGUGAUGUUUUCUAAUAUGCUCCGGGUAAAAUUUUGAUAACUUAGCCAAGAACUGCAAACAUAUAUCUGACACAUAGUUUACUUUCCUGCCACUAGUUCCACUUCUGAAUUAGCUUUCCUUUCAUGUGGCUUUUUUUUUCUCUCAUAAAAGACAGAAAGUGGAAAUAAGGGUCACAAUACAAUGUAAUAUAUGUUAAUAGAUCCAACUUCCUAAGACAUGAGAAAUGUCCAUGAAGGACUUCAAAAAAAAAUAGCAAAAUAUUGACAUUAUAUGCUUAAGACAGAAGGAAAUGAGUUCUUUUUAAUGUCAUGCUCACCCUGUAAUGAUAAUCUUAGUAAUUACAGAGCUCCCAAAUUACCAACCCAUUUAGCCACCAUAUAGUAAGUACAGUUUGGCAAUUCAUAAAGAUUGUGAAAUUACUUCUUUGAGAUAGUAAUUUAACAUCAAAGAGAGAAACAUUUCACAAAGGAAAAAGGAUAAAGUGUAUUUCAAAUACAGGAAGCUAGUGUUCCUUAUUUUAUGGAUUAAGUAAUAUAAUAUAAAACAAACCAAGUCAAUCAGACCAUUUUGCAUAAAAAAUGGUAAAAAGCUAAUAAAUGAUCUAAGCUCAAGAAGCAAAAGUAUAUAUAUAUAUAUAUAUAUAUAUAUAUAUAUUAAAAAAUCAAGUAAUAUACUGAAAAAUGUCUCAAUAUCUACUCAUAAGUUUUAUAUUUUUGUAUAUGAAAUUAUAUAUAUAUUUUUAAAUUUUAACAUUUAUUCAUUUUUUGAGAGUGAAUGAGACAAUGUGAGUUGGGGAGGGGCAGAGAGAGUGGGAGACACAGAAUCAGAAGCAGGCUCUAGGUUCUGAGCUGUCAGCACAGAGCCCAAUGAGGGGCUUGAGCUCAACGGACCGGACUGCGAGAUCAUGACCUGAGCUGAUGUCAGAUGCUUAACUGACUGAGCCACCCAGGUGCCCCUGAAGUUAUAUUUUCUAAACAGCAGCAAUUCAAAUAAUGAUGUGCUGAAUUGCUCUUCACUUUUUUUACUUUUAAAAUACACUGAAAGAAUAAGUUCGAGAAACAGCUAAAAACUCUAGAACAUUUCUUAGAGUAGAUACAUUUUCUCUGUCUAUGAUAUGAAUGAAAAGGCAAGGGUUUUGGAAAGAACCUCUUAGCAUGCUUAUGUUUUUUCAUUUUCAUACCCACUUACGUAUAUAUUAUCAAAUCAAAUAUAUAUAUCAAUGUAUAAUUAGACAAUAGUGGUAUGCAUUUAAUCAUCUCAUCUUCAAAUACCUCCCAAAUAUAUGAUGCAUACUAUCUUCAUUACUGUGAACCUAAACUGGAACUAAAAACAUUCACAGGAGAAAAACAGGGAAAAAGGAGUUUCCUUUAUUUCAGGGCAUUGCCCUUAACGUUUGUGCUUUCAACUAUUAUAAAAAACCCAAAGGUUCAUAACUGUAGUGAUGUUUAUGCUGUUGAAACACAAUUGCAGACAUGCAUGGCAUGAGUAUGAGCUCUAAGCUUAGCUAGUGAACAUGCAGAGUCCUCACCUAGUUCAUUCUGGUAUCCUCUCCUGCUGUCAUGUAAAGUGAUUGCUAAGAAAUGGUUACAGUAUCCAUCUGCUUUUGUUUUAGCCAUUUAACCCAACUCCUAGCAUUAGCAAAAAUAAGAUAAAUAAAGAGAAAAUGAAGAUGCCUAAAAGUAGUGACUCCUGUUCAGAAAAUUUUUGUUUUGACCAAAGAUGGAAUGCUAAAUAUAGCCAUGGACUCGACUGAUGACAUGAAAAGAUCACCUUUCUGUUUCAUACAGAAAUAUAUAAUUUGAUGAAGCAAAUAUCUCAGCCAGUGAUGACACUAACUUCUGCUAUAUUGGUAUUCUCAACUUCAAAUUCACAAACACCAAGAGUGCAUCAUAUACUGAGGUGGUAAAAGACCCCAGAGCCAGUCAACACAUGAAUGCAGUAGACCUGUUCCUAAGCCUCGACCUUCAAAUCCAAGUGAUUCUGUGGCAAGUUCCUUAAAUAAGUUCCUUAUGUCAAGUGGUAAGGAGGGGUCUGUGUAGGGACAUAAAAGAUCUUCUUAGACGAGGUUGAAUUGAGCUGUCUCUAAUCACAGCAGUGAUCUGCUUUAAUCUCUUUUAAUCUGUUUUAUGCACUGUUUCCACAAAGGAUUUACUUUGAGUAAAAAUCUACAGGCUUAAACAAAUACAAAAAACCAUCCUUUUAGAGUUAAAAUAUGUACCAGUUAAUGAUGGAAAACUUAUAUUUAAGCCUCCCCUUCACUGUUUAUUAAGCUGUGUGGCCUUGUUCUUGUUACUUGAUGUAUCUAAGUUUUCUCAUAUGUUAUGAAAAGAGUUUAGUCACUAAAUGUCUAACAUUGUAGCUUCGAGUCUAGUGAGGGAGACAAAGAGUAAUACAGCACAUAAAUCAAUGUAAAUAUGCAACUACACACAGGUCAGAAAAGAAAGACAUAUAAACGUUGAGUGCCUCAAAUGGGGGAAACAAACUACUGAGCAAGGUCUUGCAAAACUCCCCUGGAGAAAAGAUCUUCAGCUGAUAUUUGAAGGAGAAAUGGGGCUUAACUGAGUGAAGAACUUUUCAGGUGGAGAGAACAACAUAUGCAAAUGCUCUACAUUGGGAGGUAGUUCAGUGGAUAGAAAUGGGGCUGAAGCAUGGUGCCUGAAAGAGAACAAGAUGCUGGAUGACUUGUAGGGGUAGGUAGAGGCUAGAAUAUGAAGUAUCUGGAGGGCCAUAUUAACUAUUGUGGUCUUAGUCAAAUAGGGAAUUACUGAAAAAUUUUACACAAGUGUAUAAGUAUAUGUAUGUGUAUACGUGUGUGCAUAUGCACACAUGACAUAAUCAAGCCUGCAGUGUGAAAAUCUCAGUCUACCUCUGGAGCAGUUUUUCUCAACACUGGCAUCGUUGAUAUUUUGAACCAAAUAAUUCUUUGUUAUGGGGGCCUAUUCUAUGCAUUGUAGGAUGUUUAACAGCAUUCCUUGUUUCUACCCAUUGGAUGCCAAUAGCACUACCCCCCAUAGUCAUGACAAUCAAAAGUGUGUUCAGAUAUUGCCAAAUCUUGUGCAGAGAGCAAAGUCACCCCUGGUUGAGAGCACACUGUUCUAGAGUAGGCUAGACUGAAGGAAGGUCAAACUAUACAUGGGAAGAUCAGUGAGAAGCCUAUAAUAGUGUUCCAGGCAAGCAAUGCCCAUCCUGGUCAGAGUGGUGAUGGAAAUAGAAAGGAGUGAACUAAGUUUAAGGCCCUGAUGCAAAACUGACAAGUCAGGUAAUGGAUUGAAUCUAAGGCGAGAGAAAGAGAGAGAGAGAGAGCGAAUAUUUAAUUUUUCCUUCUGACAAAUACAUGAAAGGGAUUGCAGUACCAUUAAACAAUGUCAGAGCACCCGAAAAAGGCUGGGUUGGGAUAAAAGACAGAUCGUGAUUUGGGCAUCUACAUGUCCAAAAGUCAUCUGGAUAAGUAGCCUUGAAGCUUAGAGGAGAAGUCCUAACUGAACAAGCAAGUUGUGAGUCACCUGUCUUUUAGUGGUAAUUGAAACACAAACAAUGGGUGUGAAUAAACUUGCUUCAAUUGUGAUAAGAAACAAAUCCAGAACCAAGCUCUGAAAAGUUCUGACACUUAAUUUUGCUGUAGAGGAGCAGAAGCAGACAAGAAGAAAGAAAAAAAUCAGAAGGAAAGGAUAUCUGUAACAAUAUUGAACUCUUACUGAGUAUAAAUUAGGUAAGGACUUAAAUAUGUCCUUUGAGUUUAACAACAUGGAUAUAAACUGUUGAGCAAAAUGGUUUUGGUGGAAGUGAAAAGGUUGGAAGGCAGAUUGUAGUGGUGAGGGAUUGACUGGGAGACAGUGAGUGCACAUAACUUCUUGAAUAAUUUAGUGUUAAAGUGGAGGCAAGAAAUAGAGCAAUAACUUCAAAGACAUAUUUUGUGUAGUUUAGUUUCAAAGGGAGAGACUGCAUAUGCUGAAAAGCCAACUGGAAGGAUUUAGUGAGAUGGAGAGGUUGGCUUUACAGAAGAGAGACAGAAAAAUAAUGAUGUAAAAUUCCUAAGAGGGGAAAGAAGAUGGAAAACAAAGCAUAGAUAGAAACAUAACCCAAAGAUAGAGAACAUAAGGCAUUCCUGUUGUCACUGAGGUGAAGGAAGGUGACAUUAAUAUAGAUAUUGACAAUCUGUAUGCUUGGCAGCUUCAAGAUAAGUACAUUCCCGUCUGAUAAGAUGUAAGAACUGAGGAAAGUGGGAGGGGUACUUGAAAGGAAUUAAGAAAGUUUAAUUUCAUUGCUGUGGGGAAUGGGGAAGUGAGAUGAGCAGAGAUGUCCAUGGCUUAAUGCAGCACUGGGAAUCCAUUUGGGGUUGGUGAUGCAAAAGUUACAGGGCUACCUAUAGACCUGUGGAGUGACUUUGUUUGAAAAUCCUCCACAGUUCUAUUUCUGGCAAUGAGAAAGUAGAGAACUGACUUCAGCCAGGUACAGGUUUUGUGGGGAAAAAAUAAAAUGUGUGUUGCAGGGUAGGCUAAGGUGCAUAUGGGAGGGCAGAAACAAGACAAUGUAGGUUACUGUUAAGACAAUUCAGAGAAUGACUGGGAAUGAUACACCAGAGAAUGUAAGAUGGAUUAAAAGGGAAGAAAGUAAAGUGUGCGGAUUGCAGAUAAAGGAUCAAUAGACUAGAAUCUUGGUGAAUUUAAAGAUUGCUUAUACUGUGAAUACUUGGCAAAGCAAACUGGAAAGAGAGGAGACUGAGAUGUUUGUUUUAGUGAUUUGAGAAGUAGAACAAUUGCAAUUACUGUGACCACUGAAAUGGAAGCAGAGAGGGUAGAGGAGAAAAUCAGGAAAUAGGAGAGAACCUAAAAACUGAGAGGCUAUGAUGGUGUCUCAGGAUAAUGGCAGAAAAAGACUAUGUGUCCACUCUUCUGGUAAACAAGUGAAACUUAACUGAAGUGUAACAAGUAACAGUGAUGAAGGGGGAAAAGGGAGAACACCUGACUGGCCUGAGUCUCAAAUCAGCUGAGUUUUUAACCCAAGAAUGGGAAAGAAAUGGUUAGAAAGGACAAUGGCCUCAAUUUACAUGAGGAGGAUUCAGGGAUAGUGGUGUUUUCCGAGGAUAGCCAUGUUUCUUUUAAGGCAAGAAGAAGAAUUUUGAAGAAGAAUUUGAGGGUACAGAGGAGAUUGCUGACUGUGGAGAAGGAAUGCCAGAAGCACUGAUGGAAUCUCUGUCUUCAAUAAUAUCUAAACCAAUAAAAUCUCUCAAAGUCUAUAAUCUUUUCUAGCUUUAAGACACUUUGGAAACAGGGAAAUACGGAAAACUUAAGCUUAAAAGAAAAUGAGAUUAUUCUUCUUUGUUAUUUAUGUACACUACUUUCUUUAAUAUAAUGUGUAAUUAUAAUCUUAGAAGAUCUAUAUAUUUUUUAUAAUUAGAGAAUUUGAAAAUGCCAACCUUUACUCACAAGCUAACAUUUACUUCACAAGAGAUCAUGGAGCUAUGUAGGAUCAUCUAAAGUGUUCAGAACAUCCUACCAGGUAUUUCAAAAGAAAGUGGUUUGCCUUACCUUAUAUAUUUUUUUCUCUUAGUAUGGAUCCAUGAGUGAAGAGGUCAUUGAAGAGGAGGGGGGAGUAAAUGAUGAGCAUGAAUUAAUAAAAUGAAAAUGUUUGGACUUGCCUUUAUUUAAAAUGCUGAGCUAACUCAUGUAAAUUCCCAGACUCAGUGGGUUCUUGUCUUUAGAGAAAUAUAAAUGUUGAAAUAAGCAAACAUAGGAAGUUUUAAGCCAAAAUAAAGAGAAGGGCAGAAAUAAAGGGAAAUUACCAAAAUACAAGAUAUAGGAAAAGAGAUCUCAUAAUGAAUUCUGCUGUAUUGAGAGAAAAGGACCCCAAUCAUGGCUUGAACAAUUCAUGAAUAAACAAUCUUCUUGUUCACUCAUGCCUUUUGAGUGUUAUAUUCCCUUUUUCCCAGCUCCUUUCCUUGAAGACUUAACUUCCCCACUCUUUGUACUAAACAUAUCCUUUGCUUCAUAAGCCAACUCAGUGAAGCCUCCUCUAUUAAGCUCUUUCAGCCAUUUCAUUCUAUACUAAUCUUUCAUUCAUUCAAAAUAUUUUUAACAUUGAAUAUGUCUCAACUACUGUUCUGGGCACUGUGAAUACAAAUUAAGGUGCAGGUUGGGUCCUCAAAAGGCUCAUCAUCUGGUGGUAGAGAAAGAUACACCAAUUGAGCCAUAUAGUACACAAAUGAGUGUCUAAUAAUAAGGAAACAUAGGCAUCCUGGACAUAAAGAAAGAGGAUUUCUGGAGGGUAUGGUCAAACAAAGCUUCCUGAAUCAGAGCUGAAUCAUGGGCUGGAGUUGAACUCCAUCCUCUAGGUAACAGGAAACCUUGAAAGUGAUGACAAGAUUAGAUUUAUACUUUAGAUGGAUAUAUUUGUCAGCUAUAUGAACAAUAUAUACUAAUGAGAUAAGAUGGCAACAUCGUACAGAGUGAAUGUAGUAAGGAGUUUAUUAAAAUUUCCAACUGACAGACAGAACAAGCCUACAAUAGAAUAUUGAUAAAGGGAGUAGAGAGAGAGAAAGCACAUUAAAAACAUAUGUGGGCAUAAAAUUAGUAAUUUUUAGGAUAAACUAAUUUGUAGGAGGAGUGGAAGAACUCCAGCAUAACUCACAGAUAUUCUAAUUUGAUGGCUCUAUGAAGUUAAUAAAAUAAGAUGAAUCUCUUCCCCAAACCAAUCAGUGCCUCCCAGAGGCAAAGGCUAAUUUCAGGCUCCCUUCUGGACUCAUCACAAGGAGCAAGGUGAUCUAGGAGGGAUCUGGGACAUCAAACAUACGCCACACCCUCAGUUUGGAGGUAAUACUACUCUGGAUGGAAGCCACAGGGAGCGUCUCACAAACAUAUAGUCCUCUGUUCCUCUCAAUAUACAUUUCCCACAGAAAGUUAAACUGAAUUUUUCCACAGAAAUAUUGAUAAAGAACAACAGAGUUAUCUUGGUUUAAAAAUGAUGCCAGGGUUUCAUUGUUGAAGGUCUGGUAGUGAAUGAAGUUUUUGACACGUUAAAUAUGAGUUUUACAUGAGACAUCCAGAUGAAGAUACCCAGGAGGAAGUUAGAUUUUUCAAAAGAGAGGUCUGUGCUGGAAUGAAAGAUUUAGGACUCAUUAGCAAGAAGGUGAUAGUUGCAAUAGUAAGAGUCUAUUAUAUUAUCCAAUUAGAGUAUGUAAAAUAAGUGCAGAUAGCUGAGAAAAGAAGCUCAGUGGCACUGAAGGGACAGGCAAAGGAAGAACAUCUGAGGAGACAAUGGAGGAGGAACAGUCAGAGAAGCAGGGCCACUCCCAGCCCACAUGGUGCCUCUGUGUGAAUUAGUAAAGAGAUGUCUCUUCCUCAAGACACUUUACUUCGUCAGAAAAUUGUCACACUAUACUGAUUUUGUUAGACAGGAAUAUGUUACUGCCACCUGCUGGGAAACUGUUCUAAUAGAUAUGCCACUGUACCUUAUUUUUGAUACGCACCUCUUUCCUUUAGAUGUGUGACCCUGAGUAGCUUACAAUCUGUACAACUACAUAUGUAUAGUCUUCAAGGAAAAGUAAAAGCCAUUAAUGUCAUGGAUGUAGGACAUUUCAAGUACAGCAGAGUGUUUAGAGAAAAAUAACCAAUGAAAAAUAUUCUCUGGUUUGGGCAAUUACCUAGAUGUCCUUCAAUUACCAUAGAAAGAAAACUAUAUAAGGUAGUUGGAUAAUGAACAGAGACAAUGACAUAAAUUCCUAUCUUAAUCCUGAAGAAUUUGAAUAAUAAUAAUAAUAAUAAUAAUAAUGGCAAAAUAACAACUGCUAGAGAGUAUUGGACACUCAUUACAUAUUAGGCACUGUUUUAAGCACAUUGCAUAUAUUUCAUGCAUGUAAUCAUCAUUUCAACUCUAUGAAAAGGUCCUAUUAUACCCAUUUUAAAGAUGAUGAAGCUCAGGCUCGUAGGAGGGGAUGGACAAGGGCACAGAAGGUGAGGGUAAUAUGGAGAUGUGUAGGGAAUGGAAAGGAGAUCACUGCUUUGAGCCUCAAUUGUCUUUCUCAUCUCUGAAGAAAGCUCAUGAUGAGUUAUGUGAGGAAAAGCAAAGGGUAGUUUUCUCAUAAGACCAAAUUUUGGAUUCAGAAGGGCAGAGUUCAAUGUGAAGCUCCUCCAUUUAAUAAUAAAGUUACCUUGGCCAUCUCUUAACAUCCUGAACCUCAGAUUCCUUGUCAGAAAAAUGAAGACAACUACUGUCUACCCUAGUUUUAUAGUACUUUUACAGGGAUUGCUGUAAAGCAACAAGAGUAAUCCUCACCCACAUGCUCAUGUGCAAAGUCACUUUCCACUCUCUUGUCAAGAAGUAGUCUAUUUCUCUACUUCUUUGAGUCAUGAUGGUUCUUGUGGUGACUUUCCCCAGUGAAUACAGCAGGUAUGCUUACAACAGACUACCAUGGAGUAAAAGCCGUGGAGAAUGGGAUGAAAUGAGAUGAGAUGAGAUGAGAUGAGAUGAGAUGAGGAGAGGAGAGGAGAGGAGAGGAGGAGAGGAGGAGAGGAGGAGAGGAGNNNNNNNNNNNNNNNNNNNNNNNNNNNNNNNNNNNNNNNNNNNNNNNNNNNNNNNNNNNNNNNNNNNNNNNNNNNNNNNNNNNNNNNNNNNNNNNNNNNNNNNNNNNNNNNNNNNNNNNNNNNNNNNNNNNNNNNNNNNNNNNNNNNNNNNNNNNNNNNNNNNNNNNNNNNNNNNNNNNNNNNNNNAGGAGAGGAGAGGAGAGGAGAGGAGAGGAGAGGAGAGGAGAGGAGAGGAGGCAACUCAUGCAGAUAUGCAAAUAAAGAAUCCCUGCACCAGCUUUCAGCCCAGUCUCUUGGACUGCUCCCUUUCAGAAAUCAUGACUAUGUUUUGAAAAGCUCAAACCAUAUGGAGAGAUCAUUUAUGGGUGCUCCAUUCUAUAGCCCCAACUGAUUCCCCGGGUCAAAGGAGCAUCAGCUACCUGUAGCAUGAGUAAGCCAUCUUGGCUGUUCAUUACUGUAGAGCCUGCAGGUAACUAUGGCCCUAGCCCACAUUAGAUGGAAACUUCACGAAAGGUUCCCAGUAAGAACUGCCCAGUUGAGUCAAGUCAACUCACACAAACAGGAGAAAUAAAAUAGAUUCUACUAGGUCACCAAAUUUUGGGAGUGGUUUGAUAUAUAUAUUUCCAGAAAAUUUUAUCCUCACACACUGUAUAUCCUAUUUUUCAGCCUCUCUGGCCCUUAGUUUUCUACUCAGACAUAAGAAAACUGGAGAAAAAAAAUAUUCCUUGAAGAAAUCAUAAAGCCUAACAUUUUUUGAAUGUUACUUUGUGGCAAGUGCUCUGCUUUACAUACAUCCUUUUAAUUUAAUACUUCUAACAAUGCCAUGAGGAAGUACCUCUACUUUAUAGUGAAGACACUAAGGUUAGAGGGCUUAGUGACUUGCCCAACACCACACAGUAGGAAAUGAUAAACCUAGGUCUCAGAUGCUGGCCUGACUCUAAGUUGAUAUUUUUCAUUGUCACAUCAACCUGUCUUCCUAGUGUCUGACUGAUUGACUGAUUGAUUGAUUGAUUGUAGUUUGUCCUGGAAACUGAAAUAAUAUGGGUUAGAACUGGAUGACAGGUGAAAUAUCAACUCCCUAACAGCUAUAAGUGUGUCUUCUUCCUCCUCAUAUCUCUCAGCAUUAUGCUUUAUACAGAGUGGGCAUUUAAGAAACAUUGAGGUGAAUUUUCAAAAUCUCAUGACAUUUUACAUUUGCAUACCACCAAGGAAUGGAAGCAAAAGAAACAGAAAAAAACAAUAAUUAGAUGGGGAGAUCCUAAUGAUCAACAUGAUUACACUCCAGGCACAUGUCACCUAACAAGGGACAAAUGAAACCACGUGGUUUUGUAUCAUUGUAACCACAGUUGAUAAAGAAUUCUAAUGUUGGGUUUAUCAGCUGGGUCACUGGACUGCUUGAUUUCCCAGUAACUUCUCAAUAACUUGGCAUUUAGAACCUUUUAACAUGGUUCCACCAGGUCCCACAGGUGUGCUGGACCAUCCCUCUUUGGCUGUUCUCAAACAGCAUCUGGUGUUUCCUGAAUCAUCCCUGCACUUCCUGCUCCUCCUGUGUUCAUAUGUGUUUGUCUAAAGAGCAUUUUCCAAUGACCACACUUGCCAUAUUUUUCUAUAGAAACCGCAACUGUCUUCACAUGAGGUUCAAGGGCCACUUUCUUUAGGAAGCUUUCCCCUAAUGCCACAGCUAAAAGUAGUCAAUCCCUCCCAUGACAGAACUCCUCAAGCAUUUGCAGUCUCCUUAGUGCCUUUUUCCAUUCUGCUUUGUAUGCUAGUCAUUUCUGACACAUCUUGGUUUUCCCGUCACACUGUUAGCUCAUUAAGGACAUGCUUUAUUCAUCUUUAUAGCCCACAUGGUAUCUAAUACAUUGCUCUCCUUGAACAUUGCAGAUACUUACUAAAUGUUCGUUGAAUGGACUCAAAUAACUUGGAUUUUAUGGUCACAUAAAGCAUUCAGAAGAAAAUACAAUCUAAAAAUGUACAAAGAUGGUGAUGACAUGUCUCAUAGAGCGAAAGGGGCAUACAAAAAGAAAACAGGCUAACUCCCUUGGGUAGAGAGAGAAAACAAAAUUCGUACUCUAUGCAUAACAAACCAAAACUUUACUGCCAAUACUUUUAAAUAUUCCUAGAUAGAACUCAGCCCCUAAAAUGUACAUUAAUUUUGCCAUAAUUUUUAAAACUUUAAAUAAUUACAAAAAAUCCACAAUACAUAAGAGAAAUAAUAGGAGUACUAAAAUUAUUGUCUAUAAGCAAUAAAAUAUGCAUUUUUCUAAAGUAUUAUAAAACAAUUCCCUUUUUUUUUUGUUUGAGAGAGAGUGCACAAGCAGGGGAGAGGGGCAGAGGGAGAGAAAGAGAAAGAGAAAGAGAGAGAGAGAGAGAGAGAGAGAGAGAGAAAGAGAGAGAGAAUCUUAAGCAGGCUCCACUCUUAGCACAGAGCCUGAUGUGGGGCUUGAUCUCACAACCCUAGGAUCAUGACCUAAGUCAAAAUUAAGAGUCAGAUGCUCAACUAACUAAGGCACCCAGGCACCCCAACAAUUCCUUUUUAAAAAAAAUGGUUCAUCAGUUCUCAUGAUAUUUCUAUUACUCCUUCCAGGAUGUGUUUAAAUAUUAAAUAAAAAAUAUAUAGAAGCUAUCAGGUAAGAGAAUGCAUCAAUAAGUUUCAUGAUUUUUCAAAUUGCUUUUAUCAGUCCUUAUUGACUGUACGGCCAUAAAAUCAAUACUAUACGUAUCCCUCCUAUAGGCACUCUCUUCCCAAGUAGUUCUGCAGUUUCCUGUUCUACUCCUGUGCACUCAGCAUAUCCAGCCCCGUUAAUUAAUUCAUUU